RNAcentral lists this transfer RNA (71 nucleotides) under Hoplocercus spinosus. RNAcentral describes it as "tRNA-Trp". It matches the Rfam family "tRNA". Rfam says of the family: Transfer RNA (tRNA) molecules are approximately 80 nucleotides in length. Their secondary structure includes four short double-helical elements and three loops (D, anti-codon, and T loops). Further hydrogen bonds mediate the characteristic L-shaped molecular structure. tRNAs have two regions of fundamental functional importance: the anti-codon, which is responsible for specific mRNA codon recognition, and the 3' end, to which the tRNAs corresponding amino acid is attached (by aminoacyl-tRNA synthetases). tRNAs cope with the degeneracy of the genetic code in two manners: having more than one tRNA (with a specific anti-codon) for a particular amino acid; and 'wobble' base-pairing, i.e. permitting non-standard base-pairing at the 3rd anti-codon position. The record is from RNAcentral. Lineage: Eukaryota; Metazoa; Chordata; Lepidosauria; Squamata; Hoplocercidae.
AGGAACUUAGGAUAAACACAAACCAAGAGCCUUCAAAGCUCAAAAUACGGGCGCAACCCCCGUAGUCCCUG